This 253-nucleotide ribosomal RNA is filed under the name uncultured bacterium. RNAcentral describes it as "partial 16S ribosomal RNA". It matches the Rfam family "Bacterial small subunit ribosomal RNA", at positions 524 to 776 of the family's 1533-position model. The record is from RNAcentral.
UACAGAGGUCUCAAGCGUUGUUCGGAUUCAUUGGGCGUAAAGGGAGCGUAGGUGGCGGGGUUAGUCAGGUGUGAAAUCUCGGGGCUCAACCCCGAAACUGCACUUGAUACUGCCUUGCUAGAGUACCGGAGAGGAGAUUGGAAUUUACGGUGUAGCAGUGAAAUGCGUAGAUAUCGUAAGGAAGACCAGUGGCGAAGGCGAAUCUCUGGACAGUUACUGACACUGAGGCUCGAAGGCCAGGGGAGCAAACGGG